This 301-nucleotide long non-coding RNA is filed under the name Elaeis guineensis (African oil palm). RNAcentral describes it as "long non-coding RNA (EGUI_LNC064672)". The record is from RNAcentral. Lineage: Eukaryota; Viridiplantae; Streptophyta; Magnoliopsida; Arecales; Arecaceae.
UCAUUGCUACUACUAUGCUCGCUACCCCCUUCCGAUGAUCCAUUGGUGACGAUGCUGCUCUAUGACAAGGAGACCUUGGAGUAUGAAGAUAUGGUCUCGAUGUUGCGGUCCAAUGAAUAGUGAGAGAAGUUGACCAAGAAAGGUGCUCCCCAAGAGGACUUGGCCAUGGAGGAGAGAUCUGCAAGAGGAAGGAAAAGAGGUAAGUCAAAGGGAUGGUCAAAGUCUCGGAAGAGCAGGAGCAAGAAGGAAGUCAGGUGCCACAAGUGCAACGAGAUCAGGCACUUCAAAUGAGAUUGCCCGC